Daphnia pulicaria is the source of this 343-nucleotide long non-coding RNA. RefSeq lists it as uncharacterized. The transcript is spliced from 2 exons. The record is from RefSeq and is a predicted model, not a curated record. NCBI's taxonomy places the organism in Eukaryota, Metazoa, Arthropoda, Branchiopoda, Diplostraca, Daphniidae.
UAAAUAUGUGGAAUGUUAAUGACGAAAUACGUGGUGAACGAAACCACAAAUGUGACGAUUAGAAAAUGCUGUUACAACAUUCCAUUCUAUUUUGAGAUAGAAAGUUGGAAACUAGACAAAAAUUUCUUAUAAAAAUUUUGAACGUAUAUGUAGUUGUAGCCCUGUGUGUAACUAUUUGAUGAAUCUUCCUAGUUUGUUAAAAACAAAGAUAACCCAUCUCAAUAAGCAAAUUCGAAUGGAAACUAUACUUACACUAUGUCUCAAUGCCUCUGGUGCUGUCCAUUUGAUGGGGAACUUGCCUCCCUCUUGAUUGUAUAUUUCUUCGCGAGCCAAUCCAAAAUCA